Long non-coding RNA from Mandrillus leucophaeus (drill), 884 nucleotides. RefSeq lists it as uncharacterized. The transcript has 2 exons. The record is from RefSeq and is a predicted model, not a curated record. NCBI's taxonomy places the organism in Eukaryota, Metazoa, Chordata, Mammalia, Primates, Cercopithecidae.
CAUGUUAGCCAGGCUGAUCUCAAACUCCUGACCCCAGGUGAUCCGCCCGCCUCAGCCUCCCAGAUGCUGGGAUUACAGGCUUGAGCCACCACGCCCGGCCUCUUCAAGCUUUUUUACUAUAAAUGUUGCCCCUCUCCCCCAACUUAGUCACUACUGAAUCUUUUUGUGAUGGCACCAGGUCACUUUAUGCUGGGAGAUCUAGUCAAAAUUUGUUUAUUUACUCUGCCCCUUGUCAACCACAGUAUAAUUUGGAGGACAUGAAUAAAAUACUUGACAGUAUCCAAGGGAGCGAUACCAAAAUCUAAUAGGUAAAUUUUGGAUUUUACUUCUUUGUGCUUUAAAGUACCAGGAUUUCUGUCUUUAUGGAUAGGUCUUGGAGAAUGUAAGUAAUGGAUGAAACUUUUUAAAAUAAUUUGUAAAUUUUACCUAAGUAGGACAGUAGUCCUUAUUGCAACCAAAAUAAUUUACUGAGCAUGACUCCUGUAAAUUAAUCUACAGUCAGACUAGUAUGAUUUUAAUAUGAUUUGAGUAAAAAGAUAAUUUUCAAGGAAAGAGUAAUCAUCCAUCAAUUUCUUUUAAAGCCAGAUAGUAUUCAAUUUAUAUCAAGAACAAAGAAGUUGCCCUUUUAAAAGCAUGUACAUGAAUGCUUUUUGAGGCACAGAAGUGUGCUAAGCUUUAACAUUUUGUAUUUAUUUACAACUCUUCUCUAAGGGAAGGUUACUUCUCAGUGCAGAUGGAGAAACUGAAGCAUUAAGGAUAAAUGAUUAGUUCUCAAUUACAUCAUUUUUUCACAGAUUUGCUGGGACUAGCUUUCAGGUAUUGACAGCCAGCCCCAUAUAUUAAGGUAACCAGGCUGAAUCUCCCAAUUUAAGAAUCCAUGUAUG